AUCUAUCUCGCCCAUAACAGCAUCAUGCAGCCCUCGAGGACCGCUACGGUCACGCGAGCCCACCUCUCGCAGCUGCGACGUCUGCCAGGGUGUGCGGCAUCGCCGUCGACGGCAGCGUCGGUCGCUCCCGUGCUCCUCGCGUCGUCGUCGAUGAUGAUGAGCUCGUCUUUUCCACACAGAGGCCACGCUCUUGAUUUCGCGGAGGCGGGAGCAUCAGCGAUGGCAUCGCGAACGAGGGCGUGGCGUACUGCCGCCUUCGAGCUCCGAGGGCUUGGCAGCUUCAGGCUUUCGUCGCAGCCAAGAGGCCGGCGUUGCUACGCAACUAGUACCGCCACCGCAACGUCGGCCCAGGCGAGUACAGCAGCAGCGAGCGGGUCCGCAUCCACGCAGCCGCAAACGGCACGGCGUCGCCACGUGAUGGACCUCGGCAACAAUCUUUCGGUGGUGCUCCCUGCCUCUGGCCCCUCGCCCACGCCGUCUUCGCCGAGGCACCAUCGUGGCAGCCGCCGGCACCAUGGCCGCACAAAGAGCGGGGCCACCGGUCAUCACUCCCGCGGCGAGCAUCGGUACGUCUCCACCGAUGACGGCAGCACAGAGGCCAGCGCAGCGGACGGUGCCGUGCACGUGCAGUCGCGGGAAGCGUUGAGGCAGCCGCCUCGGCCUCGAAGGCACACGCGGCAAGCGACCCCGGCGUCGCUGCUGGUGGGGCAGCAGCGUGCUACCCAAGGAGAGCUGGAGGGCAAUGAAGACGGCCUUCUCCGCAUCCCUCGCACGGCGGCCGAGGCGGUCGCGCUGCUGGAGUGCGCGACGGUGCUGGAGGCGCUCGAGCUCUCUUCUUCGGCGCACUUGCCGCGGAGCACGGCGGCUCCGGCCUCGACGUCGACAGCGGCUGCACCGAGCGACGUGCGCGCCAACUUCGAAGAGCUGCAAACGCGGGCGCUGCCGCUUCUCUUCCACUUCGCGCGCGUUGCCGCCACGUCGUCGGCUCCGUUAGCCGGCGACGCAGCAGCGGCCGUCACCGACGCGAGGCUGGCAGCGGCGCUGCAGUGCCUGGCAGCCCAUCUGCAGUACAUGGCAGCGGCCACACGCACGGAUGGGCUGCGGCACGUAUCGGCGCUGCCGCCAGCGGUGGUCGUGGCGCUGUGGGAACAGGUGAUGCCGUACGUGCACCAACGCGUUGGCGAAGCGGAGGCACCACCACUACCGCCGUUACAAGGGAAUCUCGCGGAGCUGGAGGAGGAGGAGGACGGCGGCGUGCACAAGAGCGCGGGCGAAGCAGUGACUUCAGGGCCCGGCGACGGCGCGGGCGCAACGACUGAGCUGCGGAACGCCGCGGGCGCUCUCGCACUCUCGGCAACCGCGGCAGCGACUCGCCCCGCUUCCACGGCCUCAAUGAAGAACUCUGUGUACAUGCCGCUUCGCCGCGCCCUUGCCCUGCACACGCGGCAGAUCGCGUCCUUGCUGCCGCCGCCUGCCCUCGCGCUCGUGCUCACACGCAUAUACCAGUGCGGCGCGCUUUCCGAUGACGUUCUUGGCCCAAUCGCCGCCGACUACCUCGAGGCGCUGCGGAGGAGUGGGCCAGGUCAGACGGCAGGCGGCGGUGACGUGAUCGCGGCGCUGCGGCAGCGUGUCCUCCGGCUGCCGAGCGGCGACGGCCUGGGCGCGGCCCCACCGGCUGUCGCCUUUACCGGAGCCGCGGCCGUGACAAUGGCACGACUGCUGGGCCGCGCGGCGAUACCCGGUCAUCACCAACUCCACCGGUUCUUUCACCUUGCGUUGCUACCUGAGGUCACCCUAGCACUAGCGCGCGCGGCAGAGCGGGCCGCUCAGAACGUCGCUGACGAAGCCACGGGUGAGGCUGUCGAGGCGCUGCCUGGCGCGGCCGUGCUGCUGGACUUGACCGCGGCCCUACGCCACUACGCCGUCUCUGGGCACGCUGUCACGCACCUGACGACGCUCUGGAUGGCGUACUUUGCGCGUCGCCCGUGCGCGGACGACGCCGCGGCCGCCUUGGCGGACUGUACGGCGUUGCUGCGAGCUCUGUCAAGCGUGCCAUCCGCGUCCAACCGCACGCAGCGGCGGCAAGCGCGCAACAUCCGUGUCGAUGGCGGCCACGGUGGAUUGAACGCCCCGCAGCAGCGGAAGCAGCUGCUAAAGGUGACGGAUGAAGACUACUACCCAUUAAUGGACGUUGUGUGCGCGCGGGUGUGCCGCGUGUGCAACCAUCUGCAGAGUCCUGCCGCCACCAGCGACGUGGCGACGGUGGCCCCGACGCAGCUGCUGGCGCUGCUGUGUUUGUUGUUGCGUGUGAGCAGUCCGCACUGGGCCGAGACUUACGAGAUUCUCGCCAGCGCCGUUCUCGCCGCACUCGCCUCCACGGCAGCUUCCCGUGCCGCCUUAGCCCCGUCACAGCCGGGAGACGAAGAGCUGGAGGGCUUGCUUCCUCUGGCUGCGGCACGGCGCACGCUGCACGCGCUGCUGCACCGCAACUCGCUCAUCCCUGAUCAUCCGCUGCAUCGUGUACUGCUGCGGCGCCUUCUGCACUCGCCGGCUGCGAUGACGGACACCGCGGUGGCGUCGCAGGUGCUGUUGGGGCUGGAGCUGAUGGUCCCCGAAGAGGAGGGCAGCGCGCACACCGAUGGAGGCUCGAUGGCCACCGAGACGCCCGCGGCUGCGGAGGGCAGCAGCCGCAGCAAAAACGCUGUUGUGACCAUUGCCGCCAGUGCAUCUGCUAGGCCGACGGUGGCGCUUGUGGCAACCGCGACUGGCACGGCAGCCCAGACGUUCAUGUCCACGGUCGCCAUCACCCCUGAUGACCGCCACCGCGCCCUGCAGGUGUUUCGUCGGCUCGGCCGCUCCGUCACCCCCACCGCCUUUGUGGCGGGGCUGUGCGUCGUCGCGCUGGACACGCUCCCCCGCACCGCGCAGGUUGCCGUCGUGAAUCACCUCACGUCCGUCGCCUCCGCCGUGUCCCCGUCGUACUUGGUCAAGGGCAUGGACGCGGUGGUCCGUCAGCUGCCCUCGUCCGCCAUCGACGAUGUGUCGGUGCAGCAUUGGUUUUCGCGCUUCACUGCCCGGGACGUUGUGCGACGCGUCGACCCUGUCGGCUGUGCCGUGCUGCUGGACAUGCUGUCUGCGAACCCGCGGUACCAGCGCAACUGCGCGCUGGCGAAGGAGUGCAUUACACGCCGCGUUGGCGUGGCGCUGCGGCAGACGGGGGAGGACGGAGCCGGCAACGACGCGGCGAGCGCCGUGUCUCUCGAGGCGCUCCCGCGCAUUGUGGCGGCCCUGCAGCGCGCCAACGUCUUUCUGCCACAGUACUACUCGCGUGCGUGUCGGCUGUUGCUUGGUCAGGUGGAGCAGGCCCCUCUUGGUGAGAUGCUGGAGUCGUUCGCGGUCGUCGCUGAGGCGUACAUGAGCCGCCAGCGCAGCGAGGCGCAGGCGAGCGUCUUCAAGGAUGUGUGGGAGCUCUUGCGUGGUCGUGUAAUGGAAGAAGCAGGGCGGCUGGCGUUGCACGAGACGCUCAUGGCCAUCAACGGGUUUGCGGCGCUCGAUGUGACGGACCACGCGCUUUUCGGCGUCCUCGUCUACCGGCUUUGGCUGUGCCUGUGCACAGCGGAGGCGCAGGUGGCCGACGCAGCAGCGACGUCGAGGUCUUGUGGCGCGUCGAGUGCAGACCCAGCGGUCGCGGCACCCGGCGUACCGGCGAUGCGUCCGGUGCGCUCUGCGCAGCAGCCAAGCGAGAACGGCGAAGCUGCCGCCUCGGCAGCUGCCACGACUGACGACAAGGACGAGGCCGCGGAGGCGCAAGUGCACAGGCGUGUACAGGCUGCCCAGCACGUGCUGCGCACCCUGACGCCAAGCGCAGUGGCGGUCGUGACAGCCACGCUCCUCGCCAGAAGCGACGUCCGUGCAUCUUACGCGGCACAAGCGCGUGCGGCGGCGGCGGCGGUGGGCGGGGUAAGAAAAGGCGAAGACGGAGACGACAACGCUGUCCGCACCCUGCUCCCAUGGAUGCUUCUCGGUCUCCGGGACUGCCGCGCGGAGCUCUACCCGGUGGACGUGGUGCACUUGAUGCCAUCGCUCCUGGAGCACUACGCAGCCGCCGCCACAGUCGAAGAUGCGAGUGCCCCGACGGUCUGCGCGGACCGCAACGCAGCGCUGCUGCACAACGCCUACGAUGCCUGCCGGAGCACAUUCCUUCUCAUGUACACCCUCUUGCCGGACACCGUCGCCGCAGCAGAGGAGCCGCUGCUGCCCCUCGCGGAGCAGCAGCGCAUUUCGGCGCAACGCUCGCAGUGGACACCGGCGACGAAGCUGUCCGUCGAGGUGGUGCCUCGUCCGUGGUUCGCGACCUUACUUGUCAGUCUCAGCAGCGCAGCCCUCGUCGACGUGGCCGUGGCGCUCGCGUGCGUGCGGCGUGCGUGUACACGCCGCGUCUGCAGUGAUCUGCUGCCCAUCGCCCAGCUCGUUGACGUCUGCUUGAGCCUGUGCUGGCUGACCACCUCAACGGGUCUCCGCACAGCCACCAAGGGCGCCAGUGCCGCUGCACACAGGAGCGACGAUGAUGCGCAGGCUCCCGCCACGCCACCGGCGACGCGUCAGGGCGAGCCCUCCUCCCCGUCGCUGCCCGCACCUGGUGAUAUUCUCCGCACUGCCAUGGCCACGGUACUCUCCGCGCUGUGGAAGCGCAGCGACGAGCUCACACGCGCGCAGAUCGGCGCGCUACUUCGCUGCCUGCGCGACACGUACGGCGCCGACAAGGUCGACGCCGACUUCGUAGAGCGACUGGAGGCGCAGAGGGCGCUGCUACUCUCUCAGAGGCAGCAGAAGGGGCCGGCAGCCGCAGCGGCGGGCUCCGCCAGCGCGACCGAGGCGGCGAACGGCGGCAGUGACGGCGCUAGCGCCGCGUCCCCACCACAGCAGCAGAGACCGAAACCCCUCCCUCGGCUGGACCCAAAAGACCUCUUCAGCACAACGUAAUGUAUGCGCAGGCGCCGCCGCCCCACCAACGGUAUCGCAGCCGCGUGCGAGUCAACGCCUCCCCCCACCCCACCCCACACACACACACACACGCACACAAAAAAAAAACGCGUCUGUUGCACUCUGCCAUGCAGGAAAGGCUCUCCUCCCACCUAUGCAGCGGCAGUGGCCGGCAAACACCGCGACUGCGGUAACCGCGCCAGUCAGUUCACAGCUGAGGAGGGGCGAGGCCCCGAUAAAGGGUAAGCUAUGGUGAUGGCUGCUAUUGUGGUUGUGGUGUGUGGCUUCUCC
RNAcentral lists this unclassified non-coding RNA (5274 nucleotides) under Leishmania donovani. RNAcentral describes it as "gene:LdHU3.01.0840(CDS-product:hypothetical_prote in_conserved)". The record is from RNAcentral. Lineage: Eukaryota; Euglenozoa; Kinetoplastea; Trypanosomatida; Trypanosomatidae.